CCCCUGGUCCCCCCAGCCAGGACAGGGCAGGCACACCCCAGCUGGACAGAGCCAAAUUAUUCCAAAGCUGGGCUGAGAGUUUGCAGGAGAGCUGGUUUGCCUGGAGACAGAAACCAGAGCAUGGGUCACAAAUUGAACUCCACCUUCCCUGUGCCACCUGCGCCGUGCUUGGCGCCACGAGCUGGCCCUGCCCAGCUGAGGGUCACUGCCGGGCUCAGAGCAGCUGGAGCCCCCCCGUCUCUCUGUCUCUGUCACAGUUCCUCACAAAUUCAAUGGCACAAUGCAGCUACACUAUUUGAAAAGCCAUAAUAUUUGUUGGUACAACUCUUUUAUUACUGUCGAUUUAUAUAUAUAUUUGUUGAUAAAAGAGGUCAUCUUGGGAGACACUUCCAGUCUACUGGGAAAUAAUUGUCCGAUGCUGUAUAUUCUGUACAUGCUGUAUAAACAAAGCAAAAUAUGUAAAUCUAGAUGUUGGUGGACUCGGUGGCACUGCUGCAGGGGGAUUGGGACCAGGCACGGCCACCGUGGCUCGGGGCUGCCAGCUGGGUCCUGGUCACGGCCCGGGGCAGGGCCUGGCCAUGGUGCACGGGCAGCCUGCGGCUCCCUCGGUGCUUUCCCCACACAAAAUGCUGUCCGAAGGCAUUUCACGCUGCCUCCUUCCCAAGGUGACCGGGGGCGGCCUGGGGAGCAAGCGUGGCCGCCUCGGCCUCCCUGCGGGGCACGGUGCAGGGCCGGGCAUGGCACAGGGCAUGGCGCAAGGCCGGGCAUGGCGGCACAGGGCCGGGCAUGGCACAGGGCCGGGCCCAUCGGGAGCUCGCAGCCCGCCCGGGUGGUGCCGGCCACCCGCUCCCAGCCCAGGACUUCUCUGAGCCUUGGGGUCCGAGGGAGACCCUUCCCCAGGGAGGGCGGCCGGUGAGGGCAGGGACUGGCUUCGGGCAUUCCAGCUCCUUCCCACACCAAGCCAGCCGCCCUCCCUGCCGUGACCUCCUAACCUGACACACGCCGUCAGAAAACCUGUUUCAUAUUCUCCGUGCUAUCAAUCUACAACUUUUGAAAUUAUUGGACACAGUCGUGGUAGCCUAAAAGUUGUGCUGAGCUCAUAUAUUUUUAUAUUUGUGGUGUUUUCCUAUCAAUAGAGAGUAGUGAACCCUAUAGCUGAAAGUGAACUAUUCAAAAUAAAUAUAUGACUGCAGAAAAUAUUUGUAAAAAUAAUUUAUUUUAAAUAUUCUGCCAAAGAUAGCUCUCUAAUGAUCUGUAAGAUGUCGUUUCUCUCUUUUUGCUCUGAAUGUCAUUGUGAAAGGACCUUUCUCCCCAUAUCUUUUGAAGAUUUUUUUUUUUUGUAUCUUUAAGGGCAAAGAAAUAUUCCAGUGAUUUUUUUACUAGAGCAGUAAAUAGAAUAGUAGGGAGGCACGAGACAACUCUGCAAAGGUGAUAAACAGGAUCCAGUAAGAAUCACUCUGAGCUCCGGUUUCUCCCGUAGUUCCUCUGGCUGACAGACGGGUUGGAAGCCUGGGCCAGCUGUCCAGCAGGAAGACCUUGGCUGCUGCUGCUGCUGUGGCUGCUGUGUGGCUUACCCAAAGGGGAGAAAUCUCCCGAGAACCCCUUCCCCUGGCUUGGGGCAUUUGGAUCCCCUUGCAUCCAAUCUUAGCCUCUUCAUUAUGUGUGGGCAUGAUUUAUUUAUUAGCCCUGAAUAGGCCCCGUGGCACAUGGGGAACCCUCACCCGGAGCUCUGUGGGGCUUCAGUCCAAAGCCAUUCCCUCCCUGCUGCUGCCAGCAGCCCUGAACCAUGGCACAGGGAAUCCUGCUGGCAUGCAGGCCUGCCCCUGCCUCACCUGGGGACGGGGCAGGGGACACCCAGCCACCAGGGCAUGCUUCAGCAAGAGGAUCCAUCCCUGCAGGUAUCCAGCCAAAACAGGGGAAGUACAGCCUUUUACCGUGGAGAAGCUGCCUAGACCAGCCUUUGAGAAAUGACUAGACUUUUAUUUUUUGUUGUAGAAAAAAAUCUUUCUCUUCUUCAUUUCUCCCUUUUGAAAGAACUUUUCAAUACUAGGGAAAACCUUCAUUAUCUUCUGUGAUCCCCAGGUCUGCUGCGAUGGAAAUAAAUCCUCAGCCACCUCUGUUAGGCUCCACCACUUCAAAGAGAUUUUUGGCUCAGAUUUUUUUCCCUUCUGAGCAAAUUCACAAUUUCUUAAACGUCUUGGUCAUAAAGGUCUGGAGGAAUUAACUGGUAAAAAAAGAAAUCAAAGCCCUGUUCCAGUGAAUGUGUUUCCACAAGCAAUUCAGCUUUUGAUUCCCCCAAAGUCAGGCAUGUGUGUAAGUGUUUUUUUGGGAACGGAGGUGGGAAAAGCCGUUUCCAAGCCAUAGGUGUGAUGGGUGUGGUGGGAGCACUGCUGCCAUGGGGCGUGGGGGGCACACGGCAGCCCUGGGGAGAGCCUGCCAGGGGUCUUUGUUCCUCUGGGCUCUCUGAACCCCGGCAGGGAAACGCACGUGAGCCAGGGAAAGACAAUGGUGAGAAGAAUUGGGUUUCUGAUCACUGUGCAUUUUGUUAAUUAGUGAAUUCAAAUAGUUUUAUUUUUACCAAAAACAGAUAAUCUUUAUUCCAGUAAAGACAACUGUUGACUUGAGAUAUAUAUAAAAAUAUAUAUAUAUAUAUUAUUUGAAUGGUUUAUAUCCUGUUGCUCUAACUACAUGAAAUGGAAACAUGUUGCAAGUUGUGUCAUUUCAAUAUACAAAAUAAAUGACUUUUCCCUGCAUGCUGCCUGGGUAUGUUGUGAUUUGAAUUAAGAGUUAUAUUUGAAUUGCCUUAUUCAAGAGGUUGUAUGUUACCUAACUGGGGAAUGACCUGGCACUGUUCAUCACAUUACAUGUGUACUCGAUGCUGUGUUUUGUCAAAUUCAGAUGAGUUGUCUGUCAUCUAUGUAUUUUGUGGGAGAUCUUUUAUCUUGUUAAACUGUGAUAUGUAAACCUUCAUUGCCUGAAAUAGUCACAGUUGUAUAAAUCAGUGUCUUCAGCUGUUUUCCUAAUUUUAACACAAUUCCUAACACAAAAUAUAGAUGUUUGUAAAU
This 3065-nucleotide long non-coding RNA is filed under the name Taeniopygia guttata (zebra finch). Its description in RNAcentral is "lncRNA (ENSTGUG00000028226.1)". The record is from RNAcentral. Lineage: Eukaryota; Metazoa; Chordata; Aves; Passeriformes; Estrildidae.